This 6125-nucleotide ribosomal RNA is filed under the name Triticum aestivum (bread wheat). RNAcentral's name for it is "partial small subunit ribosomal RNA". Lineage: Eukaryota; Viridiplantae; Streptophyta; Magnoliopsida; Poales; Poaceae. The record is from RNAcentral.
GCAGUAUACUGCCAAAGGCAGGACUCGCAACAGAAGUAGAUUGGCAGUCAUGGAGCUAGCUGCCGGUGAUAUAUGCGCGUCGGAGCGACCGGGUAGCACUAGAACAGCUGAUCCGCCCCAGCGUGCGAGACAAGCCCGGGCUGGGUCGCGACUUCGCUUCUCGAGGCUAGGGUGGGGUGCGCCCGGCGGCGGCGGCUGAGCAGCGGCCGCCAUAACGGGCCGGUGGAUGGGGCUUCGCGGGGGGGGGAGGAGCAGCGGCAGGGCGUCGCCACCGGAGCUAAAGGAGGGUUUUGGCAACAGCACCCUCGAAUUCGACUCCGCCUUUGGGAUCGGCGCAGCUACCGCCCCCUCGACCCCGUCGUCUGCCACCUCGACCCCAGGCACCACGCCGCCCGCCGCCUCCUCAGCAUGGACCGCGACGCCCUCGAGCACCUCUUCAGCGUCCGGCUCAGGCUGACCUUCCCGCGUAUACCGCCCGCCGUCGCCAGCCUGAGGCUCUUCUUCUAACUGGAGGAGUUUAAGUAGCGGGCGUGGGCGGUCGCGUACGAGGCGGAGGUACACGAGCGGUUCACCACAGUCGUCCAAGGCAACCAAGUCAUGACAGUCGUUGAACCUAGUUGGGAAAGAUCGGUACUUUGUACGAAGUGGGUUUGUCGGCUGAGUGACAAGAAGUACGUACUCCCCAACGUCGUUCGUUCUCGAGGAUGUAAACUACAAGGAAGACGAAAUCUCCAAUACGAAUGUCCGUCAAUAGUCUCCAAUGGUUCUACAUAUCUUCUAUAUCCCUCGGUUUUAUUUGAAAGAGGUCUACUUCUUUUUGUACGAAACGUCUUCAACCUGUGGUCACACGCGAUGUUUCAUGAACACUGAGGUUCUGGGUUUCUUCAUAGAUCGUAAAGUCAUUGACUACCCUAUCGACAAAAAGCACACCUACCUCUUAAAUUUCAAGAAGAAUGCAAUCCAAUGGCACCAUUGGAUCUAAAUACCUCCUAUGACGUGUACCUCAACGAACAACCACUCUUCUUACCGGGAUAAUUCGACCCUCUUUAAUCCUCUAAACGAGAACCACUACUAUAUCUUUCUUCUUACCGUCAAAGACUCUUAGGGAAAAGACACGACAUACGAUAUGAAGUGCUCAAAUCGUAAAGUGAACGAUACCUGUGAUAGUAAUCCGUCCGAUUACAAGAAGCUGUGCCUUCCACCUUCCUUCGUUAUUCAAGACUUGCAUAGAGUCUGUCGUGUCGUCCAGUUUGACCUUUACGACGACAUUACGUCGAACCAGUUCUACCCCUUAAACUAAGUUCACCAAAAUCCAAUGGACACAACUUUAACUUAAUGACCAACCUACCUUUUUUGUCACCGGGUCGUCUUAGACUAAAUAGGGGUAAAUAGUUUUAACUCCGUCCCGUUCUGUACGUCUAUUUUACGGUCGUAUCAAGUAAAUAUGAACUAGGAAACUGUCUAUUUCUUCGAUUAGAAAGAGAACUAGACAGGACGUAACUACAACUCUUUGAGUAAAAUUUUCGUUAACGAACGUUAUCCGUGUGUGCAGAAGAACUGUAAGUCUCUGUUAACACGUUUUUACACGUUUAAAGAGUCAGUGGGUUUCUACAAUAGGACUUCGCCCUGUAACCGCAUCGUUUCCGUGGUGUAUUCUUCUGUCUCUUUCGCUCGAAACGUCUAAAAACACCUUUACUUCACGAAGUCCACGCUCGUAUACCAGUUCGUAUAUAACCAGAACCUCAUUUAUAGUCCUCACCAGCAAAGUAGGAUGUUAGUGGUUUCUUAUAGAAUGGAGGAAGGCGAGACGACCUAACCCUUCUUCGAGAUUUGUUUCCGUCAUUGUGUCGCUGACUCCAAAAGAGUUUGAAUUCCUGAUCCUCGUAGGAGGUAGACGAACAUAGAUGACCUUCAAAAAAACCGGAGUUCCAAAUACUCGUCAGAGUCCCAUGAGAUUUCUAAGGUCUCCGGUAUAAUGUACCAAGUCUAGACUACCAAUACCCUAAAGGCGUCACGCGUUUACGGAUAAUAGACAACUACGUUGAACUAUUCCUAAAGUCCGGACAAAAAGUAAACGAACUUUGUGUCAGACUACGUUCGUUAUUCAAAUUACGUUUAUAUCUACGGUUUCUUCGGUACUCCCAUUUGUUCUAACUACAACCCGUCUACCUUUUUUAUUUUGUACUCUUCUUAAGUUUAGGAAAACUACGGUUUGACGUAAGGGAUGUUUCAUAUCUCUUGACACUACUGUACUACCUGUUAGUUGAAGAGUAAGUCUUAUCACAACUAGGAGAAGGCGACGACGGACGAACAAGUGGUAGCAAAAGUAGAUAACAACUACUCUGGAAGCUUACACUUGUACCAAGAUCAAACGGAAGACGAAGAGGACACGCGAGAGAAAGUGAACCGGGAGUUCCGCAUUCGUGGUCUUGAUAAAGUGUCUACGUCCUACCCCGGAACAGAGUACGGGUUCGAUUAUUAUGGAGUUAUCAAGCAGGACCACAGCCACACUUGUCGAUAAAGGGUUGAUCAAACUCGGUAAAUGUCUCAUGUUUGCGGAAAAGCAGGAGAUUAGGACAUUCUUUAAGUAGACGAUAGUUCAACAGUUUGAGAUUUGGAUUAGUACUGGACUCAAGUAACUCGAGAGGUUCACUCGUACCAUAACGUCUACCUUUAUUUGGUAAAGUUGAGCGGGGAAGUUCGUGCAACGGACGAGUAAACCAAGCUAGAAGUGGACGGUAACUUCCUAAUCCCUUCCGGUAGUGGCAUCCUAGACUAACACGUGGAUCUUUCGCGAGAGAAAGUCUAAAGGACGAUCUAGAGGGAAGUGACGUUCCUGACUUUAGGCCACUCGGUUCAUUCGCUUCUUCUUAUAGUCUUAGCCGUGUCUCAAGGGAAGGAAACGUCUGUAUGAGAAGAUCAAGUGUUAGUCCUUGGUCGGAGUGGGUACCUUUAUUAUAAGAACGGCUUUCUUUAUUAACACAAGGUCGUUGACACAUACGAAGUCACGAUGAUGUACAUUAUUCCGUGACAAGCGAUACGUAGUUCGUACGAGUUGAUUGACGGGUCUACAUAAGAUCACGGUAAGGUAUACAGCUUCUUCACCCGUACGCUAGUGGUAGGAGUUUAUAAACCAAGUCCAAUGGCAAACGAGUUCUACUAAGAACCUUUGUGUAUACGAAUGCGGAACCCUUCCGACCUUCGUACAGUACCCUGCAAUCCUAUUUACUAGGUGUAAAGUUCCUUGAAACCCUCGAGUUACCUCCUUCGUGGAGUUGUGGCACCCCACAACCACAUGCGUAUCGAUUGUGUAGACUCUACCUAAGUGUGUAGAGAAAACUGCGCCUACCACAACAAAAUUGAAUAUCGUGACAACUCCGUCUAUCACAAUUCUCCGAACAUAGUCUAAAUGUUGCCGAACGGUUACGUGCACAUAAACGAGCACCUUACUCCUCUAACUAGCCACAUUUUGAACUACUAUUCGAUCUACUGUUGGUAUAUAGACACCCCUACUUUAGUGUCAGACAAUUAUUUCCGGUAUCACUACGACUGUCCGAUAGACUUGUCUACCCUUUCGGUAAGUCCUAACUUCGACAACCGGAUUACUCGAAAACCAAGUCGAUACCGGUAUACGGUUACCAAGUGAAACAACAGCUUACCCUUUGACGAUUCCUUCCAACGUGUUACGUACAAAGAGGACUGGUCGAAACCGGUGUGUGUUUCAAAAACCUCCUAAAGCACUUACCACCACUCCAACGUAGGAAGAACCUAACAUAAGCCGAUUGUCGUCCUGGAAAUGAACGAGAACCCCCACGUUAAGCAGGACGAGCCUACGGACAUUGUCAAAGCUGACCCAUGUCGAGUUACGGUUUCGUUUGAUUAUUACAGGGGAGGGUCCCCGGUGAUCGUUUACCAAGUAGACGUUGUUGAUACGUAGUACGUAGACGGGGUAGUUUACGAUGCCGUGUAAACCCACCAGUAUGAGAAGUAUGACGACGGUACGAGAGGCGACGACCUGCCCCACCCGGACCUGAGCAAGGAUCAAGUAACGACGGAAAACUACAAAGGCAGCACGAAGCCCCGGGUAUGACCUAUGCGUAAUAUAUAGCGUUCUUCAAAAGACAACUGUACGCAACGAAGCGGCCCCUAGUCCAAACCGAUGUCGGGCGUUGGGGAGGAUUCCCACCCGGAAGUCAACCGCCCAGUAACGGUACAGGCGUUAAAUCUGGAAAGUAUUACCUCGUACAACGAGUUCCAGAUUUACGAGAACUUGGACGAAAGUACUUACGAUGUGUCGGACCAGGUGUGAAUUUAUGAUCACGACCUCGAGGUGUUAGACGAGGACAACGUUUGGCAAAUUUACGGUGGGGCCCACAACGAUACAGGUCCGGUUGAAGAUCACAACGGUUGGUACAUCGUCGAUCAAACUCAGCUCGUCCUUUACGGUACAACAGAAGAAGUCCAGAACGAAGUCCCUAACCACCUCGGAGACACGCUGAUUGUGGACCUUGACCGGAAGGACAAGUAUACUUUCCUCUUGAUUUGUGUCGGAAGUAACCCGAACCCCUACUACCACCGAUGCCACCACCAACCCAAGGCAACCGUCGAGAGUUCUUCCACAAUUCUCCCUAAGAAUUCAUGGAACCUCAAGAUACCAACAAACGUGUCAACGGACUUGAAGACUUUCUCUAUAACCCCAGUUAAAACUUCCUGUUGCUUCCCCGAGAAAACUUAAACCUAGUUCUCGUCGGACGUGACGCCAAGAUACACCCUCCAAUACAUAAACGUCAGUCACAGGUAGCCCAAGUUGACGAAGAUGUUCAAGACUCACAAUUCGCCAAAGUGGUGGUCGUUGUCGUUGUCGUUCGAGUCUUGUUACGAGUCCUCCUCGACUGUAGACGGCUCUAGUUGCUCUAUACGCUAAUAAAGUCGUCCGCACAACGGAGACUUGGUAUACUACGAAGUUCUCAACGAAGAAAAUAGUGAAACGAAUGUAAUGGAUAUAGCCACGACUCUCUUUAAAACUUCGACUAAUGAACCUUCUUUCCCAAAAGGGUCCGAGUACCACUGUAACGUUGACGAGUCUCCCGAGCGUAACUCGAAACAAACCUUUUAGUGAGCCCUAGUCGAAGUCUACUAUCUUGUCUUUCGAGAAAUCGAUUCUCGUUAUAAGUAGUACUAUCUCGGGUGUCAAGUCAUCUCAAACGAGAGUGCAAACAUGAACUGGUACGCGAGUAAGGAGUGUACUUGCAUCGACCACCUCGACGGACCGAAGGCAUAACACAUAGGCACUCUGACUCCAUAAGAAAACCUCUGUUGUCGGUAUAUAGCAAGGAACGUUAUUUACCCUCGGUACCACCCUCUCGAACGACCGACGUCAGACUUCUAACCCUCUCUACAUUCGUCUUCCACCGCUCCCGUCACCUCUGACACUUACCCUGGGGACGACAACGUCUUGGACCGGUUCCUUCCGACGCUUACCAACGACUCUACUAUGUUUUCGUUGAGGUUGAAACAGAUGUCGUCGAGUCUCUGCCUGGUGAAAGCCGACCGAGUUGACGAAGUACUCUAUUGUUUAAUCGUUAACUCGGUCCAAUCUAUUUAAAACAACAUUAAGGGACCUCUACCGACACAACUGUAAACCGUAAGCUAUCGUCUUACGACCUCGGGGUUUCUUUUCUUUUCUUUACGUUCGUACAGAUAACCGCCAAGCACGGUCCCUGUCGCCGAGACUCCGCUGUCGAACGACUAAAUAUACCGUUAAAACAUGUCGUUUUCGUACAACACCCCCAAGAACCAGUGUUCGACAGAGACCGCGACAGUCAAACCAUCUGUUCCUACCUAAGCCAAAUCCUCCGCACCACAUGUAAUGUAUACCAUAAGAAUGAACCUGACUGUAAGACAGACGGACAUUUAGAUUCUCUGAAUGGAUUAACACAUACCCUUAAGGGGUCCCUUUCUACCAAACACAAACCUUACAAUGUACAUCGUUUACUUCAACGAACUUGGGGGGAAUACUAAGAAGAAAACGAUCACACCGCAAGUUGUCACGCACAAGUGGCGAUUAUACUGAACCGUGUAUUAAACCAUCUACAUGUUAAUAAGACAUAAUAAUGAACAAACGA